GCCCGGCUCCUCUUUCCCACUCUUGUGCUCUCCACCUGUUUUCUGUGGUGUUGGAUCUCCUUCCCACCAGUUCUUUACCCCUACAGCUGCCUUAGUUUCGCAUCUUUCCCCCCCUGCUCGUGCCUUGCACAAACCUGCUGUAGCACUGCCUACCUUCCCUUACCGUUCUCCCUGGCCUUCCCUUUCUCAGUGUUUUAACCCCUGGGAAUGAUAUUUUGAAAGUAUAAGGUGUACCACCACUAAUAAACAAUGCUGGGAUAGUGGUGACAGCAGAUGAGGACAAGGCUGAAGUACUCAACAAUUUUUUUGCUUCAAUGGCAACCUUUCUUCCACAUGGAAUGACAGUGGAUGGACAGCAGUCUGGGGACUUGGGAAGCAAAGUGUUUUCCACUGUGUGAGCAUGACCAUCUGAGGAACCUGAAUGUACAUAAGUCUCCCAGAAUCCUGAGGGAAUUGACUGAUGUAGUUGUGAAGCUACUCUCCAUGAUAUUUGAAAAGUCAUGCCACUCAACUGAAGACCCAGGUGACUGGAAAAAGGGAAACAUUGUACUCAUCUUUGGAAAGAGUAGAAUGGGGGACCUUGGGACCUAUGGACCUGUCAGCCUCAGCUUCAUGCCUGGGAGGAUCAUGGAACAGAUCCUCCCAGAAGCUGUGCUAAGGCACAUGAAGAACAGGGACAUGAUUUGGGGCAGCCAGCACAGCUUCCCCAAGAGCAAGUCUUGCCUGACCAGCCCAGUGGCCUUCUAUGAUGGAGUGACUACAUCAGCGGACAAGGGAAAGGCUACAGAUGUCAUCUAACUGAGUGUCUGUAAAGCGUUUGACACAAUAUCCUACAACAUCCUUCUCUCUAAAUUAGAAAGAGAACAAUCCAUCCAAUAUGAUGGAUGAACUGUUAGAUGGAUAAGAAAUUGGUUGGAUGAUCAUAUUUGGAGGAUAGUGGUCAAUGGCUCAGAGCCCUGAAGGACAUCAGUGACACGUGGUGUUCCUCAGGGGCCUGUAUUGGGACUGGUGUCAUUUAAUAUCUUCAUUAACAACACAGACAGAAGGAUGGAGGGCACCUUCAGCAAGUUUGCAGAUGGCACCAAGCACCAACAGCUGUGCAGUUGACACACCUGAAGGAUGCUAUCCAGAGGCACCUGGACAAGCUCAAGAAGUAGGCCCAUGGAAACCUCAUGAGGUUUAACAAGACCAAGUGCAAGUGCUGCACCUGAGUUGGGGCAGCCCCAGACACGAGUACAGAUGGGGGAAAAAGUCACUGAGAGCAGCAGUGAUGAGAAGGACUUGGUGAUGCUGGUGGAUGAGAGGCUGGACAUGAGCAAGCAACAUGUACUUGCAGCCUGGUAAACCAGCUGUGUCCUGGGCUGCAUCAAACGCAGCAUGGUCAGAAGAUCAAGGAAGGUGAUUCAGCCCCUCUACUCCGCUAUGAUGAUUCUCUGAAUUCUGAACUGGGAGGGAACUGUCUGCAUCCUCCAGGCAUCCUCCAACCUGACCUGAACUUCUGUGCUCAGGUGAAACCCAAGUGAAAUGCUCAUUGACUAGCAACACCCAGACCAGGUGCUUCCACCUUUAUCUUUCACAGCUGUUGGGCACUUCUGCUCUGCCCAAAAGCCUGCCUUCCUCUUCAGCUUCCAUGGCUGCUCUGAUUCUCCUCCCCCUCCCUCAAACAAUUUGUUUCCCUUGGAUGACUGCCAUCACUUCUCAGCCUUCUUCAGGUUUGCUGCUUUGAUUGCCUGCCACAGGAGACGUCUCCUGCACAAUCAAGUCCUCAGCUGCCCCUUGUCUGAGCUGAGAGCUCACAAAGCUUUGUCACAAACCCAUUUUCCAGGCAGGAGUUGUGAGCACUUGGGCGUCCCUGUUGAGACAUUAAAUCAGUUUUAACAGGGUUAAAAUAGGGCUGUUACUUUCUCUCCCAUUAUCUUUGUUAAUGAGUAGGCAGUGUCAGUCAUGUGGUAUUUGUGAUCUUGAGAGCUUCCAAACCUUGAAUGUAGCUUCUUGAGAGCCUUGAGGAGAGCUGGCUGCAAAAGUCUCUGCUGCCAUUUCUGCCUUUCCAAGGUGUCAGAGAAGCAGGUUCCCUUUUUCCCAGGGAAGGACAGCUGGGGUGGAGCAUUUUUCCUUCCCUAGAUUCCUGUGUGCACCUCCUGCAGAAAGAAGGCACGCUGUCCCAGGCAGCUGCAGUGCUUUUAGGCUAUUAUGCUCUUUCAGAUGUCUCGUUCAAGUUGGGCUUUGCUGUGAUGCCAAUAAAAACUUGCUGGUGUGAGGCUUCUGCGGCAUCACGGAGAAUGCCAUAGAAGGAAGCACAACCCAGCAGCUGAAACCCUGCACUGGGGAUUUCCCUCCAUCUAUUUUUUGGUAGUUCCCUUUCCCAAUGUGCCAUCCUCUGUGGAUGUCCAUGCUUGAGGCAAUGUAGACCAAGGACAGCGCUGUAUUAUACCUUCCUAAGAUUUACCAUAACAAAGCCUUUUCCUGAAAUUAGUUGUGAAUCCUAAACCGACUGAAAGGUCACAUCUUGUAACACCUCCGAGCAUGUGGGGCCACUUUGGGGGUGGCACUUUUCAAACCCUCUCCCUCAUCCUUUUGCUUCUUGAUUCUGCUCUGUCUUCAAAUGGGCAGAGAGCUCUCAGAGAAAAUGGAAAACAGUCUCUGCUCCCAUGGGUUCAUGGUUUUGCCUUCCAUUGUGCCAGCAGCAGGCUGUCUGAGGGAAUAAAAAUGGUGCUCAGCACAGGGCUUGGAUAAUUAAUACUGUUUCUUUCAGCUACAGUAUUACUUAUGCCUCUGGUUGACUUCUGCGAUGAUAAAGAUACAGUCAUUUCUAUGACUGCACAAAAGAAAUAUAUGGGAGGGGAAAAUGGAAUUUUUGCUGGUCCAAAUUAAUAUGGGCCCAAAACUCUCACAUUAAAUCUCCCAGAACAAAACCAUCCUAUUUUCUUGACCCCAGGACAGGCCCUUAGAUGCUGUCCUAGGAGCUUAUGUGUCUCCAUGUACCCAGACCUCCCUCCCCAAAGCAGCUGUGGGGGACAGGAGCUCACCUUUCCCACAAAAACAUGUGGGGACAGAUAGGUUACAGCCACCAGAAUGGUACAGGGCUUGUCUGCCACCCCCAGCAUGGCUGCAGUGGGGGGAUAGCAUUUUCCUGCUGCCCCUUGGGGAGAAAAGCUCUUGCUUAGUAUAUCCUGCCCCAAGGCAAAGCAAAAGCCAUGAGGAGUCGCUCCAACCUGCUGUGGUUGGUUAGACUGUAAAAUUGUGGGGGAUUUUUUUUGCUGUUAUUUAGUGAGCAACUCACUGUGAAUUUAAUAUGUGAGUUUUGCUAUCAGUAACAACCCCCCUAACCCCCAAGCAGUUUAUUUCAUGUGUACAAGAGUAAAAAAAGGGAAAAGUAAGAACACCUCUGGGGAAAAUAAGGGGUUGGGAAAUGGCUGUAAGUGUAAGCACAGGAUUGCCAAACCCACACGUUCAAAAAGUAUGAAUCAGAUCUCCAGGAAUCACAAGACUGGUGGUCUGAAUUCCAAGUAUGAAAUCUGGGCAGUUCCUGAAGGGUAUUUCCCUCCAUGUUUUCAACGCUCUAGGGGAAGCUGUAUGCCCUCCCUUGGGGAGAGAGUGUUGGUGGGCUGGAGUUGAUGCUUAUACAUGCUUGUAAAUCCAUCCUCCCUUUGCUGGAGCCUGAGAUGGUUGUCAUGCCCUCCAAACCCCCAAGCCUGCCUUGUUACAGUGUUCUCCCCCACUGUGGGGCAUUGCUGCUGCUCCCUUGUAUCCCUGAUGCGCUGCCUGGAAGCACAGCCAAGCCCCAGUGCCCACCUUGCCACAGUGGAGAACGACAGCUGCUUGUACCAGGGUUAUUCUCCUCCCUGUGGAUAGGUGGUGAGGAAGAGGCGUCUUUAUUUAAUCCUCAGACUUUAAUAGGAGAGAGACGCAGCUUUGAAUAGUCCAAAGAUGUACUUAGCCAGGGCCAUAAAACCAGCUCAGCACUGCCCGAGGUAGGGAGAGCUGCCUGCAACACCUGUUCUGGAGGGACAUAAAUUGCUUUUCUGUACUAUGCAGGAGCUUGCUUUAAGACAAAGUUGAAACUUUUUUGUCUGGGGGUACAAAUUAGUACCUCCUCCCCCAAAGUUACCCAAAACCCCCAGAAACCUGACAAGAGGAGUGCUGUGGCAAACUUCCUCUGUACUAGACCAAGUGGCCCAAUUUGUUGGUGCCUGAGCCCCAGGCAGGGAGCAGCCUUCACCCACACCUCCAAAUAUGGAUGUGCUGGCAGGAGAGAGGAGCUUCCUCUGUCUCCUGCCUCACUUGAGGGCCUCUAGAUCUAUAACUGAUCUAAACGGCAGUUGCCCAACUCAGCCUUGCAGAGUCAGCUUUGCUGCAAGUCCUUUCUUGUUUCCCUCUGGAGUCCCUCAGUUACCAUCCAUGCCACAAUGUUGGUCCUUGCAGGCUCUUGGGUCAUGCUACAACUGCUCAGCUGCAGUUGUCCCCACCAAAGGAGCAGCAUGACCUCCAUGGGAGAGGACUCCCUCCCUGGGUGAUUGGCUACACAGCACCAUGAGAUGGUCCACCCUAGCCCAGCAUGGUAGUGUCGCUUCCCUGUGCUGGACCAACAUCUCUUCAGUUUCAGCAGAAACCAUUCUCAUCCUUGUGUGUUGUCUCCUUGUUCCUCUUACAUCUCAGCUCGUACCAAUCAGGACUCAUUGGUGUGAAGUGUGGGGAAAUCCCAGGCUGCAUGGCUCUUCCUGAGCUCCUGUUGCCUAGGCAAAUCACCUGUCGCAGGGAGAGGAUUCAGAAGUUAGAGGGAAUUGCAUGCAAAUAGGAAGAGCAACCAAAAAGCCCCAAUUCUCCCAGGUCUGCUGAGACUAAAGACUGCAGUUGGCAGUGCACCUGCUUUGGUGAGGGGUGGAGCUGCGGCUGUGCAAUGGGUAAACCUCACAGCCUUUCUCCUUCAAAGCCAAGCAUCAUAUUUUGCUCCAAAGCACUUGUACCACCCACCUGUGAAAGAGGAGUACCAGUGACUUCCAACUGGAUGGACAACAACCAGUAGGCAGCAAAACCACUCACAUCUAACAGAAGCUGCAGCUCUUGUAAUGGUAGCUGAUGAGCAGAAGCUGGUUGGUUUCCAGGGCAGGAAUGACUCACAGCCCAUCUACGAUUACCUGUGAGUCCUCAUGCCCAGCUCCCAGCUCCCCAGGGCCUGGUGCAGCAAUAUCUGCUUCCUGAGUUCAAUGAAAGCAAAAAGGUGCCUUGCUCCCUGUGGAUGAGUGUGGAUUAAUCCAUGCUUGCCCUAGGUUGGAGGUAAUACCAAUAGCACCCAGCACACCCUCCUGCUGCAUAUCAAGUUUGGGAGUAUCCUGGCCUGAAAGACCAGACAUAUUAGCCAGGCCCAUAAGUGAAGCAUCAAAGAGAACGCAAGAUUAACAUGUGCAUGGACAGCUCGUGGCAGCGACCUUUUGUAACUAUGCCUGCUUGCCUCACAUUACAGGCCCUUUACCUGGUAGAUGGUCUCAUUUGCCAAUAUAAAUACACCCUUGCCAGGGUCGAACACAGUGCAUAAAGUGCUGGAGAAACUGGAAGAGCAAAAUGUGUCCAGCAUACACGGCAAUGCCAGGAGAAGAGCACCGUUGGAGCCCAGGAGAACAGAUCCAGCUAUAUCACAGCAUAGUUCUUGCUUUGACUCCUCUUCCCCCAGUCUCUAUAGCCACGGCUGCUUGAAGGGGAGAGAAAAAGAACAGAAGUCCCUUUCAAUGCUCACUGUAAUCACAUAGAGUACAUCAGCCCACGCUGUUGGCUGGAGCAAGUUGGUGGGACCUUUGUCUGCUCCCUGACCAGCUCUCUGCAUUGUGGUAUCUCCAGAGCAGGAAAGUUUGCUCUCUCUUUCACUCUCAAUAUACAGCUGGCCCUCACAACCCUCUCUUGUUUGCAACAACAGAGCAACCUGUGUGAGCCAUGCUUCCUAGGGCAUCUGCCACCACAAGACUUCAGCCUCCUGCUCUUCCAUAGCGCUGGCUCCAGGGAUAAAGCAUGUGGAUAUGACAAAGAUGUCUCUGCCUGUUCCUUCCCAGCAGGAGCUCUGCUGCAGUUGGUUCUUCAUCUGAAUUCUGCUCUAGGUCUGUACAGUGAACACCCUCCAGAUCUCUGUGGAGUUCCCACUCUUCCUCAGGACCAGGAGUGCAUAGUGCAGGGUGCUAGGCUUAGCAUACCAAGAUUUUAUCCACAUUGCAAGCCUGGUGAGUGAUCCCUACUUUCUAGAUUUCCUGAUAUGUUUUUGCAUGUCCAGAUGCUGCCCACAACCCAUCUGGAGAGCCAUCCCCCACAACUGCCUUGUACACUUCUCCCAGUUGUCUCUGUCUUGGGAGUCGCAUGCAGAGUGGAUAUUUUGAGAUUUGGAAUAUCAGUCCACAAGCAGCAAGUGAGCACUUUUACCUGUUCCAAGCUGCCCAUUAGGUUCUUCAGUAUAUGCAGAGUCUAAAGAGCUAUCAGGUUGUUUCUAUGACAAAGUACCUGUCUGGCUAUAGUUAUGUGUGCCAUCACUCUGCUGAAUUCUCCUGUCCUUUGAACGGGGAGGGAUUCCCAUCCUUGCUGUGAACUUUCACUCAUGAAAGAGCAUUUCAGUGUGGACAAGAUGGCCUCUCAAGUGAUGGCUCCAUUCUAGAGUUCUGAAUACUGCUGACUCUUCAAAAGACUGGAUUUGCUGCUCAGCCUUUCCCUCAGAGUAGCAGCCCUUAUCCAGCUAAAUUCAGCUGGGGGAAUUCCACCUGUAAGAUGUGCAAGUAAGGGCAAAGACAUCCUUUGCCUUGUCCCUGUCAAGUUUCUGCUCCCCAAGGCCUUGCUUUCUCUGUUGGUAGUUCCUGCAUGCAGCAGCAAGUCUGCUCCCCGCGUGUUUCGCUAAAGCCAAGAUGCCCACACAUUUUUUCCAUUGUGAACCUGGCUUCAUCCCUGCCAGCUCAUGCAAGAAGCUAUUGUUAAGUAAUUGUUUGAGUCAUCCACUAAGCCCACACCCAAGCAAGCUUUUCAGAUUUAGAACAUGGGAGAUUCAGUGCUGUUGGCGUGGCUUUGGGGUACCCUACCUCCUGCCUCUGCCCAGGAGGAUGGCAGCAAUGAACACAUUCCAGAUGGGCCAUUUCAUGCCCAUCCUUGCUUUCCCAGCCUCCAGCCACCAGUAACAGAAACUUAAUGCAAUACAGAAGAGCCACCAUCUUGCACCCAGGCUGGAGCAAGGGUUUUUUCUCCUGGUGCUGCUGGAUUUCAGAGGUAUCCUUCUCUUCCCCUUUUCUCCCUAUCUCCACUGUCAUUACCAGAGCAAAUGUCAGGGCUGCUUCCCUUACCAGUGAUGAUGCUUCCCCCUCAACUCUACUUGAUGAGUGGGGUUUAUACUUGAAUUUUAGUUUGGCACAGUUGCUAUUCCCCAACCCUGGCAAUUAGAGGAUUUGAGAAGUUCAUUACGGAGCCCUAAGUUUUCAUAUGGUCAUUCUGGCUGACACCAUAUUUUUUACCACCUUUUUACAUACACAGCCAAAAUACUUGGCACACUUUCAGAAAAGGGAAGAUUAAAAAUCCAACCAAAAAAAACCCCAAAAAAACAACCAAAAACCCAACCAAAAAAACCCCAGGAAAAAACCCAAAGUGAAUUACUAAAGUUUAUAAGGCUAAUACUUUAUAGGGCUAGUAUGCACAGGCCUGGGGCCUUCAAGAUAAUAUAAUCUAAUACUUGGAGAUCCCCUGAUGAAAGGCACUAUAUAUGCAAAGUGCUUUAUAAACAUUAAUUAGUUAAUGUUGAAAAUUUUGCCCAGGGCAAAAAAAAAAAUCCUACCAAAAAUCCCCCUUCCCUCCCUCUCUCUAGUCCCUAACUAUACAAAGUUAAUGAUUCUGUGUGUGCAAACUUAGAGUACAUUUUAAUUUCUGUUUACUUCUGGGGAGGUGGAAGCACUGGAAGUACUUUCAUAUACAUUAUGCUUCUGCAAGCAUUAGUAACAUGGUGGCUUCUCCUAUCAAGUGCUUUAAUCUCCAUGAAUGAGGACACCCCAACAUCUGCAGCAUAACUUUGGACCACAGUGUUUGCAGCAAAACUGCCCAGGCUCUGCUCACUCAUCCCUUCAGUCUGUAAUCACCAGCCAAGCAAGCAACCAACCAACACGUGUAAAGGUCUUUGUGACAAUAGUUUCCAUUCCAGGCCACCUUUUCAAACCUUGGGCAACCAACAGGUGGUUUCAGUGUCAUCACCACAUCACAUGUCACCACAUAAUGUAUGCACAGGGAGCAAUGGACAGAGUAAUACACGCGUUGCUUAUCACAAAAGGAGGGAGUCUGAAGGACAGAGCAGACCUUGCAGGAUGAGGAUGUGGUUCAAAGUAGGGCAACAAGUUCUACAUUCAGUGAUAUUUCCAGCAAUGAUAUUCCAGGUAUAUUUCAUCUCUCCUUCAUGAUCUUUCCCAGGGAAGCAUUCAGCUUUUAGAUAACACUUGGGGUUGUUUUCCCUGGAAGCCCACAUCUGCUCUGGCAUAGUAGUCCACCACAGUCCAUCCCACUCCUUUUAGAGCACUGUGCUCACUUCCAGGCUUUGCAAAGCUUAGGGACCCUCAUAGGCAACACUUUUCUCCUGAAAAAACCCUUUGCAUCCCUGACAAGGCCUUUACAGAGUCCGCUCAGUUCAAGCAAGUCUGCACCAUGCAUGCUCAUCGUAUGCCACAAACUGCCAAAUCAGCUGCCUGACUCGGAUUUCUCUUUACCACAUCCACCAGCAAAGGACCAGCAGGCCCCAUGCCCUGUGGCCAGGGUGGGUGACUGCUUCCCACCACUCUUCUCCCAGGUGCAAGGGCAACAAAGACCCCAAGAGAAGAAGAUGUGCAAGCAAACCCCUUUCCCUGAAAAGCUGGUGGUAUCUUCUGGAGUCCUUUUUCCUCAUCUGUCAUGUUGGAACCCCAAACUCAUUUUUUUGCAGGCAUCUGAUCUUUUCCCAGCACCCAAAGCAGCUAGUGCUGCCUCCCUGACAAUGGAUCUUUGGUGGGGGAUGCUUUUCCCUUCCCUCUCCUGAGUCCUGGGGGUCUCAAGGGCUGCUCUGAGGAUUUUGGCUCCUCAUAGUUCCACCCUGUGAGAUCUUGCUGUGCACUAGCAGCAGGACACUGAGCCAGACAUUUUCUGUCUGCCUGGAGUGUCUCUGGAAGAGGCAGCAUCAAGGGAUGAGACCAUGGCAAGGUACCACCAGUUCCCUUAGCCCCAGACUUGGUAACUGGUAUGAGCAAAGUCUUAAAGUGAAGUGGAGUCAGCCCAAGUGACCACAGGCCAUGCUGACAGUGGCUGUCUUGUGCCUCCAGUGCUUAGCAGCCAGGCAGCUGCAUGGCUUGGGAAUGCAACUACUCUCCAGCAGCUUGUGAAGAGGUAACUUAUUGAGCUUCGCUGCAUGUGGGUGCAGCACUGUGCUUGGCAGGUGAAAUGAUGGGGCCAAGGAAUCCCUGCAUUCCCAAGGAUCUCAGCUCUCAUGACAGCCCCCCUUAGUAUCAAUGGCAACUAUUUAUAGAGUCUUUGGAGAAUCAAAGGCUGUAAAGGUUUGGUCUGGCCUGUUCCAAUCACUGCCACCUCUGGGCUCAGCCAGGGUUCAGCUGAACAUUCGACUCAGACGAGUCAUCUUGGGGGAGUUUUGCCUGUACACAAAAGCAAGAUCAAGCUAGUGGAGAGCAAUCACUUACACAGGUGUCUAAUGUGGACGUACCUGAAUGAGCUAAGCUAUACUUUCAUCUUGUGAAAUGUUUAAUUUUAAUCCUCUGUCAAUGGGGGAAAAAAAUUGUAUGAAGUCCUAAUAAAUAAAUUAUGCUGCCGAGUGCUCAGAUCAGCACAUCCUAGCUAGAAGCAGUACAGAAAAAGCCUCCUUCCAGCACUGCAGACUGCUUUAAAAUAUCCCUUCAAAUAGAGGUUGUUGCAAGCCAGUGAUACCAGUGCUGUUGUGUUGGCUUCAGAUCAUGAAGCACUUGCCAUUCUGAGAGUGUGCAACUCUGAGGAAGAAGAAAAAUGAGAAAUAUUUAGUAGUAUUUGAUGACCAACUUGAGAACUCUUGAAGAACCCUGAUUUUUCAAAAUCAUUGCGCAUUUGCUCUCAGACAGCCUGGCUGCUUUCAGGCAUAUCAUGCUGGGCACAUGCCAAGGCAACCACUGAAAUUGCAAGUCUGCUUGGAAAAUCUAGAUGGGAGAUUGUGAUGGAGGAAACUGUCUGUGCUGCUAUUGCUGAAGUUACUGAUUUUUACCUUCUCUGUUUUUAAAUUACUUUGCGGCAUUAUUUGCUCUCAAGGAGACAGCUAGGAAUGCAAGGAGAAACUGGGAACUGGAAGCAUGUUUUAUAUUGCUACAGGCAAAAGACUUGAUUUUCCUGGGAUUUCUUGGAUGCUCAGACCCUGGUUAAGUUCCAGGGACAACAACUAGCACAGGGAACUGUUGUGUGUAGGUCAGACACCACCAGUUUCACCAAAGGUGUUGGCCUGUGCUGCAGCAGAAUAUUUGCAAUUGCAUUAGGACAGAAGCUGUUUACCAUCCACUGAUGAACUUUUAUGUGUAAAACGUCCCUUUCAAUUUGGGCUGAAGUAGACACUUGCCUUGAUAGUUAUAUAAAAAAUCCUUAACUUUGCUUUGGGAUAUUUAUAACCAAAACACGCAGAAUUAUUGCAGCAUAAAAUCUGCUUCACUGCAUCUUGGUGAUAUAAAAAAGGAAAGAAAAAAAAUAGGAAGAAAAAGAAAGUUAAUAUAAUAAAGAAAAAAAAGACAGAUGAGUACACAGAACACACUUCAGAUCUACAGCACUAUAUUGUCCCAGCAAUGCCACCAAUUCAAUUUAAAUCCUAAGGAAAAAGCUAAUGCUAUUGAAGCACUGCAAAUUAACAGCAGCCCUGGCCUUGUACAUCACCCCUUCACAACAACCAGCCCAUCAAACACCUUUGCAGCUCCACACAAAGACAGAGUGGAGAAAAAGUGAAAUGGUGUCUCAUCCUCUGCCUGCCAGAGGCAAGUGCCAGCUCUCACUGUUGUAAACUGUAAGGCAAGACAAUCUGCAGUGCUAUGGAAAGAAAACAAAUACCACAGUAGCAGGCAGGCAGGCAGGCAGAAUGAGACAGAGAUAUUUUUAAUUGAUGCUAGAGGAACAUAAAUAGAUGAAGCUGGCAUUAAGCAGCACAGCCCUUUUUCUCUCUCUGCCAGGUACCCAUUUACCCGGGCUCAUAACCAAAGGCCAACAUGACAUCAGAAGCCCUGUGGUGUUUUGCCUUUGGGCAACAGCCGGUAAAACUGGUUUCAUCUGGCAGAUGAGCAUGUGAGCUGAGGUAAUUGGUGUGUUCUUUUCUGCCUCAGAUUCCUUAUCUCAUCCUGAAUAUUCCCAUAACCUCCCUUUUUUCCAGCCCCUUUUGUUUCUCAACAAAAAAAAUAUUUACAUUGAAAUAAACAGUGGGAGCCUCUAGAUCACAUCGGAAGACAUGGGUGCCAGUAACUUCACAAACAAAGAGCAGUGCAGUGAGAGCUGCAGAAAGGAUAAGCUGGAAAGGGGGACUUUUGCUACUGGGGCUGUUCCUGAACAGAAGGGGUUGGAACAGACACCAUUUGAUAAAGGAGCCUCACUCAAAACCAGCUGCCCUUCCAUUUUUCUUUCACUUCUGAGGACAGUUUGGAUUCUUUUUCUGAGGUGUUUUGUAACUGCAGAAUAAAACCCACCUGAAUGUGAUCAGAGCACAAUGUGGGAAUCUUUCUACAUGCCAAGGCUGAAAACAAGCAGGCCUGCCCAUUCCUAGGGCUGUAUUAGGAGUGCUUUGGCAGCACAGACAUCCCAGGCUGUGCAUAGACAUCCCAGGUUGGGCAGGCUUCCUGCGGGCAUCCCUCACAUCUCUGACUGCUUUGCUCACUUGAAGAGAGCAGGGUCACAGAAUAAAUCCUGCCAGCAAAACUGAAUUUUCUAGCAUAUCACUGAAUGUACAUUACUGGUGGUUUUGUUAGAUUAUGUAUGUGGAUGAGUGACUUCAGCCAUCACAGCUGUCAUUUAGGGAUGUCUGCAGCAUGCGUGUGCUCAGAACACUAUUGUGGGGCAGCACCACAGCCAGGGAAUGAGUGACUAGGUAAUCUGGAGGACUGGACAGAGAUUUCUGGCUUGUUUGGAACAUAUGAACCUCUACAAGCUUCCCCUGGAAAGAAGUUGGAAGGCAAAAAAAGGUUUUGUCCUUCCUUCCUUUCAAAUAUAUUACUGAUAUGUAUAAAUGUUGCUGAAGGACUGCCCACCAUGCCUAGCAAGGACAUGCUGGAGAUAAGGUUCCUGCUGUGGCACAUUGGCUCAAACCAGAUAGGAUGCUGCCUCCAUUUCUCAUUUAAGGAAAUGUGGCCUGCUUUUCAGAAGCGUUGUUCUUUCUACUUAUAGGUCCCUCUGGAGCUAGGAGAUGCUGCAAGCAUGGAGAAGCUUGGGAAAUCUAGCAAAAGACAAACCCAGACACUUGGGUUUAGCCUCUCACAUUUUGAAUGCUCUCCCUCUUCUCCUAUGGAAAUCACUGUGAAACUUCCCACUGAGGUAAAGCUGGAUCCAGUCUGUUAAUGCUGACAUAUUAAGAGGGAGAAGAAAAUGCAGAACAUAAGAUAGAAAAAAGAGCCUCCAACCUGCUAAACAAGGCUAAAACACAAAUCCAGUGGUUAUGUUAAACAGUCCAAAUGAAAAUUAUCCAAAUGUACAGGAUUAUAGGAGAAGAAAGAAAACAGACAACUGGAAAGAGAUGAUGAAAAAUGGGCUAAGGGAGGAGGAAGAUAUAAAAGGUGGGAAAUUAAUUGGAAAAUCCACCUGGGGAUGAGAGAGAGGCUGAAGAACAUGUAGAAGGAGGACACAAGUGUAGGAAGGUUGGUGUGAAACACAGUUGGUUCUGGGUGCAGGCACCGGUAAGGGGGCUUUGACAUCUGGGUCUGAGCCUCACAGAUGACAGGAAGAAACACCUGGAGGAGUGUGGACACCUUCAGAGAGGCUGGAAAAUGUCGGAGCUCUUUGUGGUCUCUAUGGAAAAAGACAUAGGGGAAAAUGUAGCAGGAAAGGAAUGGAGGGGGGGUCCCUUGUCUAGCCCACCUUACUGGACAUGCCCCAGAGAUCAAGCCUGGACAGGUGCUGCAGGAGUUCCUGCUUUUUCCUGGGGGGCUUCAGGGUUUUUGGCAGGACUGAGAAACCCAGGUCAGGGGUGUGGUCCAAGCAGUGAGCAAGGCAAACCCACGUGGCUCCUAAAGAACAUCCCCCUUCCCAGACACACACCCCUCCCACGUCCCUCUUUGCACCACCCUGCUGCUCCAAGCCCAUGGUCCAGCACUGGGGACUACCCAAGAUCUGAGCAGGAAACCAAAGGGCUGCAGCCUGUGCUGCUGUACACCCCUACAUGGCAUGUAGAUAUUUGGGAGCUAGAGGACUGAGGAGAUUUCUGAGCUCGUCCCUCAGAUCCAGCCCCACAGUGACAGCACAUGAUGCUCCCUGUCUACCAGGCUUUAACCAGCUCCACACAGACAAAGCUGGGAGUGCUGAUUUGACCUCUUCCUAUCCCCGUCCUCUCACCAGCACUAAGAAUGUUUUGGCCAGGGUCUUAGCAGCAGAAGGACAUGUCUCCCGCUGCUUCUGCCUUUGGUGAAAUAAUAACCAGCACACCACUUCAGCAAGGAGACAAAUGCCUUAGGUUCAGAAAACACAUUUUGGACUUUUUAGAAGAGUGAGAUGAGGCAGCUGCCCAUUGUGGGCAAUUUAGCUUAAUGUGAUAUUGAAUUCAGCUGUUUAAUACACCCAGAUGCUCCAGCAGUGAGUGUAUAAAAAAACCCCCAACUUCAAUAAAUAAUGAAGAUGUGAAGAAUUUUUUUUCUGUUUGUUUCCUUUUUUAAUGAAAAUGGUAAACUAUUUGCUACUGUACAUCUGCAUCAGUUAUUUAACAUGACAUCUUGCUGUAGUAAUAAUCCAUCAACAUCCAGUAUUACAUAUGGAUUCAUAAAAAGGUUUAUGCUUGUGUUGGUGCUUUUGCUGUCUGCCAAACUAAUUAUAUACAUUUUACAAUAAAUUAUACAUAUUGAGCCGAGAACCUGCUGUGCUAAUUGCUCACAUUUUUGCAGGGGAAAAAUGUGGUCAUGGAGUGCUUUUUUCAUUUUAAGCAUAUUGAGAAUAUGGCAGAAGAAGAUGCUAUGUCUUCAGUUUUUCACAGCUGAAAAGUCAAUAUUUAGCCCUACAAUAAGUAAAACAAACAAAAAAAAUCAGGAAGAGAGAACUUGGGGGAAGCUUUCUCUGGUGUGUUCUUGUCUCUUUGUGUCUUCACUUGGUGAGGUAUGGAAAUACAAACACAAUUUCAGUACUGUGGGUGCCCCAUGAAAUGAAGACCGAACUUCUACUGUACCAAAAGCUAAGGGCUCCCUGAAAUGCCUCCACAAAUCAGGACCCCGCAAAGAAAAUGUGAAGGAGCUCUGCAUCUGCCUUUCUUGAAGUUCUUUGUUUGCUCUUCAGCAACAGUGACAUGCAAUUAUGAGAUACAGCUUCACCGUCCACAGAAUUUCUGUGAGUAAUACUUUAAAUGCAGUUUAUUACAUUAAGCCCAGCACUUGCACUCAGUGGCUUUCAAGUCCCGUUAGGACAGAAUCCCCAUUCUGCUCCCUACUGAAAAAAAAUGUAAAAGAGUUCUCUUGAUUGAAAAGAAAGAGAGGACAGAAUUAAAACUCCAGAUAAUAUGACAGUGGCAUCAAGUAAAGAGGGUAUAUUUCACACUUCUUGAAGAACCUUUCACAUCACAGUCAGUUCAGUCAUCUUAGAAAUGACAGAAAACAUACAAUGGUUGAGGUUGGAAGGGUCCUCUAGAGAUCAUCUUGUUCACAAGCAGGGCCACCUUGGCUCCAUUGCCCAGGUCUGUGUCCAGAUGCCUUUUGAUCUCCAGGGGACCCAGAGGAUUUACCUGAUGGUGGCACAAGGAGCUGGGCACCCAGAACCCCUCACUGGCAGCAGCACCUCUCCCACCCCAGCAGUGAGUACAGGCACUGCCCUGGGCUGCACCCCCUCUUGCUGCUGCACAGUUACACCUGUAACACUUUUUGGGUGGUUACUCAUCCCUGGUGCUGCUCUUGCACCUCUCACUCACGCAGCAAGGCCCCAGGAGCUGGGGAGGACACCAUCACAAAGGCUCCGUGGUCACCAGGGCCAAGCAGUCUCCACAUCUGCUGUGUGGAGCACCAGCUGAGGCUGGACCAGAGCAGGCUGCUGAGACAAAAAUAAAGCAAAUCCAAACACUGAGGACAAGUAAAUGCCUUAAUUUUUUAAGACAUGCAUUGAAAGGGGUGGUUCAUCUUGUAUUGCAGUUAUCAGGCCAAUAAGAAAAGCAAGGAAUAAAAGUAAAAACAGAAGAAACAGCUAAAUCUCUCAAGUUGAAAAAAAAAGUACUUUUUAAAUGAAGGCAUAUCACCUAAAAAACCCCAAAGAUUAAGAGUAACAUUUACUACAAAAGUGUAGGAACAUCCUGGUCCUCAUCACACCACAGGCCUAUAUCAUAUCUUUGAUGGAAGAGAUUAGAAAAAGACCCAUAGCAUAUACAACAGGGAACAGGAAAGCAGCAUUUCCUAAACACUUUAAAAAUGUGCACUUUUUUACCCUAGCAAAACAAACUAUAUGCUGUUCUGAUUGAUUUAUUAUCUCAACAUUUCCCUUCAGGCUCAGUGGAUAUAUUAACAUUAAGCAGGUAAGGACUUAGGAAUAAUUCAAAAUAGAGUUUACAGCAGCUGCAGAUCUGACUGAAUUCUGCUGUGAGAUGGUGAAAAGGACAGAAAUGGUCUAUUCAAUUUAGAGAAAAAGACAGUUGUGUUUAAGUGUGUUAGUGAGAAAAGGCUGAGAUUCACUGUGGCCAUGAAUUCUCUGCCAAGCUGGCGCAUGAACAUCAUGGUGCAAUUGGUUUGGUCUCACAGAGGUCUUUCCUCAGAGCCUGACAUUCCUUCCCUCUCCAAAGAGCAAUGGAGGAUUUAUCCCUUUCACCAAGGAGCACAUCAGUCAGGAAUGAAUUUAAAUGCGUGAAACAUGUUAAACUCACCAAGUUACAUGCACUGUAUUUGGUUUUCCUUAAACAUUGUUUCUUUGUACUUCCUUGCUAGCCUUCAAAGUAUGCCAAGUACUCUGCUCAUGCAAUAUCUGGUUUCAGGCAAACCAGCAUGGCAGUGUGCCUGAGCUGAGAAAAUAUGCUUGAAGUCGGCAUUCACAGGCGGCCUCAACAUCCUAAGGAAAAUGCUUUGUUUUUGUAGCCUGAAAGUAUGUCACAAACACGAAUAGAAUUAUACACUCGCUCUCCCUCACCCUCAAUCCUCUUUACCUGAGGAAAAAAUUAUACACUUCCAAUUACAGGGCCAGUUAAAAUCAAUACAAAGGUGGGAGAAAACAGAUCAUUUUUCUUAUGGAAGUAACUGUUUUCAUUAAUUUUUCAUUAGUCCUGCUUUUGUUGUGCUAUCCAUCACUGAAGAAGCUGGUAUGCAGUAGAUUACAUUUAGGUUAUCUUACAUGCUUCCAGGAUUUAGUAGAUAUUGCCCGAUAAAGCUGCGAGCUUUAUGGCUUUAACUUGCAUCUAUCAAUAAUGCAUCAGAAGAGAAUUUUUCUGCAGAACAGCUGUCCCUGAUCCAAGCAGCUUUCUUCUGGAAUAGCUGCACUGGUUACAGCGGAGAUGGUAGCACAGCUUUUACUCAUCUAAAGGCUGCAACUGUGAGAAAGUUGAGCAGAUGCUUAAGGAGGGAGAUAAUCCAUGAGGGUUUGAGCCCUAGUUUCCCACUGCUGUAAUUUUUAUUGUGGAGCAUUUGAAGCUGGGAGCUGGCCGUACCUUGCCCCAUCUCAACAACCACACCUGAAAAACAUUCCUGCCAUCCUGGCAUGCAGCACAAUUUUGUUGUGAUCACUGUAUGAAGAAACAAAGCUCUUUCACAAACUGCACUGGUUCCUUCUCCCAUUUUAGUGCCUGAGUUCUGUGUUAAGGAACAUAAACAUAAACAGAAAAUGCUAGUGUCUAUUGAAGAGCUGAGGCAGAGAAAGGAAAUUAAGUAGACCAUCAAUUGACUUCACUUAAAACAUGUAAGGUAAAGGACAUUUUAUUCCAUUUAAUUUAUUUUUCUCUCACUUUGGAAGGAAAUAGAAAAAGAAAUCAGAAGGUGCAUCAAGCCUAACAUGAUUGUAAUGCUAACACUUUAAGCUCAUUCAGACCUCCCAGCAAUGCCUUCUAUGUGCUUGAAUAGCUUCAAACUCUCAGCUUAAAAAAACGUGUCACAGUUCCUCCUUGAUUUCCAACUCUUUCUGUACUGCAGGAGGCUUGUGGAAAAGGACAGCUAAGUGGGACUCCAGAUAUGCAGUUUGAGACCCAAGUGAGUGACAGUCCAGCUUCUUCAGCCUCCCCAGCUGCAAGACCAGCAAGCCAGAGCUGUGCUCUGAGGACCACAGGAUGGGGAUCAGUGGGGUGGGCCAUGGCACCAGCACUCCGUGCUCCCCAAGAAGCACAAACCCAGCCUGCUCAUACUACAACAGCCUCUCCAGAGAGAACUCAUGUAUGUGGGGCUUUAAUGAGGCUGAGAGAGAAGAGUCUAAUCAACCCAUACUUCCUCUGACCUGCAGUGGAAAAUAUUGUAUUUUUAGAAGCAACAGAGAUGAUAUAUUAUUGCUGUGGAUGCAAUGACACUGACAGCCCAUGACCACACUGCACCCCUUCGGCUUCUGACUGGGGUGUGAGGCAAGUGCAUCAUGAAUAUGGAGAGCAGAAGAUGAGAUCUGGUCCAUAAUCUCCAACAUCACCUGAAAAGUAUUGCACCCCUAUUAUUUUAGGGGCACAGGACUCCUAUUAGGUCCCUAGUAAAAAAAUGUGAAAAAACCCCAAACAAGCAAAAAACCAAAACAAAACCCCCCAAAAUAAAACAAACAAUCCCAAAAACAACAACAAUCAAACAAACAAAAACAAACAAAACCCCUCCCAAAACAGAUUCAAGGAGAAGUGGGCUUUUCUCCAUUUGUCGGACGACAUUUCCAUUUAUGGAACCCUUACUUGUGCAAAUAGAAGGUGCUUCAGUAGGCUAGCACUAGAAUUUCCCCACAGCAUAAAUAUUAACAUCCUCGUUACCAGCUAGCAGAGCUAGCUCAGCUUACAAGAGGAUGAACUUGUGUACUAUGUGCCUGCAUUUUUUCUUUUUAAGAGGAGUUAGGGCUAUGAUUUUAGCAGUUUCAGCCUCAAAUAGAGGAUCCCACAUGCUAAGUCAGUUUUAGGGUGCUCAAAAAAAGCAGAUCAAUGAGGCAGCAGCCAAAGCAAACACUGGGACUGGGUGCAACAUAUUGAUUUUUGGUGGUGGCGAUCCCUCCAGACCCUCAAGAAAUAAUAAACCAUUCAAACUGAAAUCUGAGAAAAAGAACUGGUCUACAGGCCCUAAGGAUAUCUUGGUUUCACUUCCACUGUAAAUAAACCUCAGGCAGCUUGAAUGCCAACAUACAAAUACCAGUUGUCCAUAGAAAUAAUUCAUAAUAUAGAAUUCUGCAGUGAAGAAAUGACAGAUGGAAAGAAAUGUUUUUAUUUCUCUGAAAAACUGACCAUCGGUCAAUAAAAAUGCUUUUCUCACCCCCCAGAAUCCAACCCUUCCCCCCCUCCCCCCCAACUCAUGCAAUGGAAACAUUAAAGAAAAAUUCACUUGACAAGUCAUUUGGAUGGCAGUAAAACCCCUGUAAUUAGUAUAGAAAUCAAUUUUUAAAGCUUGCUGCAAAAAAUUAUGCUUAUGAACAAAAUGUUUGACUUCAAAUUGAAUUCAGUGCCUGUUCAGCAUAAAGGAAAAUAAUUGAAUGGGUGGCUCAACUUUCAUGUUUUCGGAGUUUACUAAGUUUUCCCCAUUGGUUUUCGUCAUGCAUUUUAGUGGGCAUCAUGAAACAAUGCCUCAACUCAACUUGCUUGUGCCAGUCAAGCAGAGAGAUGAUCAGCUUCCUUCUAUAGACGUGUGGCAACAGAGAGGAAAAUCAUUCAUUGGGUCAGACUGCCUGGCUAGUACCUACCUGAAGACAGAAUAAAUUAGCAGCACCUAUUUACCUGUAUGGCUUCUGGAAAAGGAGGGACAAAGCAGGACUUCACUUUCUCCACCACAGAGGUAAUUAGCUCAGUCUCCAAUGGGACACUCAGUUUUAAAGCUCACCCAAGCAUGCCAGGAUCCGUACUUACAUUACGCAGCUGUUUGGUGCAUUCGGUGGAAGUACUAAACCCUGGGUCGAUGGUUGUUGCAGAAAUCCAACAUUCACAUUACCCAAAGAAAAGGUGAGGACCAAAUUCCUCUGCCUGCGUCUCACUGUGGGAAGGGGAGUUGGUGCCAUCUGCAAUCUCUGAACAUCUGCAGGAGUUCUCCUGGCAGCUGCUUAACCAACUUGCUGAAGUACAAGGCUGGCAGCUACUGCUCACUGCAGUUCUGCCUCUUGUUAUUAAAUACACUGAUGGCAUAAAAUGGAGUCACCACUUUCCAAUAAAAAAUUAGAUAAAUUUAGAUGUCAAAAUUACUAACCUCCAGAGACAAAAUGACAGUAGGUCCUUCUUGGUUCCCCCCACUCCCCCCACAUUCCUGGAGAAAUUGCUCAUUUGUUUGUUGAUCAGUUUUUCCAAAGAACAUUUUAAAAACACAUGGUUAUAAACCUCAACUGCAAACAGAAUUAAUUUCAUUUGCUCUCUAAAAAUCUACAGCCAGUUUAUUCCUGCACACAUUUUUCAUCAGCCAUUCUUUGAAUAUUCAUGACUUGUUACUCCAUGACCACAUUGUAACUGCAGAGACAUUUACAUUCAGGGUCUCAGAGUGAUUUUUGACUCCAUCAACAACAAAAGCAGGCUUGGUGAGAGGUGCUCAGCCAGCUGAGGAUUUGGAAGGAGCACAGUGGUAUCUUAAAGGUCAUUGACUUGGACAGGUACACACUGAGCAAGCAAAACCACCAGCAGAGCACAACCUGCUGGCUUUGGGAGCCACAUGUUGGAGAGCAUCAGAGGCAAAGCUCCUCGCCUUCCAGUCCCUGCGUGUGCAGAGGCUGCAGGCAGUGUGGGCCCUGCCAGCACUGGGGGGACACUUUUGGGGCUGCUGAUGCAGCAGGCUUGCAGUGCCUGUUUGCCAAGGCGCAGGGAAAGGAGCUGUGCUCCCCCCCGCUCCAGCUUGCACAGCAGCCUCUGAGGAAUCACAUCACCUUGCACUGGCACCCAUGGGAGUCUCAAACCCAUGGGGACUGGCAUCUUUUUGGACAUCACAAGUUUCAUCACUCCCAACAGUUUGAAGAUCUGUUUAAAGUAUUUAUUUCCCUGGGUUUUAGCUUUCCAACUUCUAUGCAGGCUAACAACCAAAUUGUGGGCAGUAAGAGCAAGCAUUUGUUUAUUUUGUAAGAGGACUUCUUGCUGCUAAUUGAAAACAAGCAUUUUCAAUGAGGCAGCUGUUUCAGUACUGUGAAUACACAGAUCAGCAUCACACUGAAGAUCUAAUAACCCACUAAUGAACCUUAAUUUUUAGAGCCCCCUCCCUCACCCAUUUUCACACUUCAGUAAUUCCAAACCAUUGAUAUGUGCUGCCAGUUAUUUAAACAUGUCUUCAGAUAUAUUUUAAUAAAAACCAGAAAAAAUGUAACUUUUUUUUUUAGUUAAGACUAUAUUGGAAACCUUUUUACAUGUAUCUAAGAGUUUCUUUUUUUCUUUUCUUAAAUAAAUAGCAAAGUGUCACUAAAAUGAAUGGAAUGCUAGCACCAUUGUGUUGAUAGAAAUUUCCAUACUAGGAUGAACACACAGUCAUCUUCUGUAACAGUGCAUAAAAAGAGACUUUGGAGGAAAGGUGGUGGUUGCUGGUGCAUCAAUCCGUGAGUGGCCCAUGCAGUGGCAUCAGGAUGUGGUGCCUCUGCAAAAUCUCACAGGCCUGGAGCCCGUGCCUGCAGAGGUGGCCUCAGUGAGACUCUGGAAGAGAGCAGCUGGCAGGACUUCUAAUGCAGAAUGUGGAAUUACUGCCUGCUGCCAAGGGACACGCAGCCAGCCGAUGGUAACACAAGGGGCUGGCCAUGUCACUCUCUAGACAGAAGAACAAUGGCUUGAAACAAGGGAAAUGAGCAACCUGAAAUCCAAACAGGCUGACUAACACUCAGCAAGGCAAGGGCUUGGAGACUCAAAGCUACCAGCUCCUCUAUCAAUAGGGACUGAUACAAGGAUUCACUGCUACACUGAAGGUUACAGAACCAGGUGUCAUUUUUUGGUGGGUUUCCCUGGGCUGAGCUGGUGUUAUUUUCACGUCUGACCAUUUCUUCCAAAUGGGACAGUGCUGAAGGAACAGCAGCCAUGUGCACCACACCAGUACAUCCCUCAACAGCCUCUGCAACUCACUCCACCCUGUGCAGGCAGCUCUGCCUGCCCACUGCCUUGCCCCUCUACAUGCUGGAGUGCAGUGCAAUCCCACCUCUCUGCUUCUGUUUGCUUAAACCAGACCCUUGUUAUUUUAAACAGGAGUUUAUUGUAUUUAAUACAUUAUAAAAUUUGAAAAAAUUGUAGGAAAGCAGCAGAUUCAAACCAGAGCAUCUCUACCAAAUAUUAAUUAUUCUGGCCCCCGUUGAAAAACACAAAACAAAACAACAAAAAAUCUCAUUCAAAAGAAAAGUUAACCUUUCACAUCUGUGAGGGCUGACGAAAAGUGUGCGACUUCUGUACAAACUACAUUUAAAAUUUCAGCUUUCCAAUGCAAUGGAUGGUCGUCUCCUGAACACCUGCCCAUCCACCUCUAAAAAAGACAGACAUAAACCUCCAUAUGCAAAUAAAGUUGAGUCAAGGUGUGUACACAUUAAAAAGUGGAUGGCUGUUUGGCAAUGAAAAUGGGUGAAGAACAGUCCAUGAAUCCCCCCCUGGCAAUGGCUUGUACACCGUUAAGUGGGCCCGGGAAGGGCCUGGGACACUUAAUGGCCAUCACAGCACCAACCUCAUCUACCACAUUUUGUCAUUGCAUUUCCUACCCUUUGACAUAUACAUACAUAUAUAUAUGUACAGACAUACAUAUACAUACAUAUCUUUGUGUGUGUGUGUGUGUUUUCUUUUAUACCUUGAGGUUAUUAUUAUUAUCACUACUAUUCCAAGUGUUCCCAUAUGAAUUCAGGUGUGGUCUCUAUAUUUUAUAUAAAUGUGUCUUUUAUUCAAUUUUAGUUCCAGGACUUGUUUGGAGUCCAAACUGCACAUGAAAUGUCCCCCUUUUUGUUUUUCCUCUUUGUUUUCCUUUUUUUUUUUUUUU
This is a long non-coding RNA of Passer domesticus (house sparrow), 22202 nucleotides long. RefSeq lists it as uncharacterized. Lineage: Eukaryota; Metazoa; Chordata; Aves; Passeriformes; Passeridae. The record is from RefSeq and is a predicted model, not a curated record. The transcript has 3 exons.